GACGAACGCUGGCGGCGUGCCUAAUACAUGCAAGUCGAACGAGAGCACCCGGUGCUUGCACUGGUCAAUCUAGUGGCGAACGGGUGAGUAACACGUGGGUAACCUGCCCAUCAGAGGGGGAUAACAUCCGGAAACGGAUGCUAAAACCGCAUAGGUCUUCGAACCGCAUGGUUUGAAGAGGAAAAGAGGCGCAAGCUUCUGCUGAUGGAUGGACCCGCGGUGCAUUAGCUAGUUGGUGAGGUAACGGCUCACCAAGGCCGUGAUGCAUAGCCGACCUGAGAGGGUGAUCGGCCACAUUGGGACUGAGACACGGCCCAAACUCCUACGGGAGGCAGCAGUAGGGAAUCUUCCGCAAUGGACGCAAGUCUGACGGAGCAACGCCGCGUGAGUGAAGAAGGUUUUCGGAUCGUAAAACUCUGUUGUUAGAGAAGAACAAGUGCUAGAGUAACUGUUAGCGCCUUGACGGUAUCUAACCAGAGAGCCACGGCUAACUACGUG
RNAcentral lists this ribosomal RNA (498 nucleotides) under uncultured bacterium. Its description in RNAcentral is "partial 16S ribosomal RNA". It matches the Rfam family "Bacterial small subunit ribosomal RNA", at positions 28 to 507 of the family's 1533-position model. The record is from RNAcentral.